CUUCUGCGUACCAGACACUAUCCGGGGAAAACAGGUUCCGAGAUGCUCGGUAAUUUGCAGCGGGCUCACAGGUAGGAGGAGCCCACCUGCAGGCUCCUGCUUGAAUGCCAGGCAAAGGGAGAGAAGGAAGCAAGCUCCAGGGCUGGAAACCGCUGGCUGUGGUGUGCAGAGGAGAGGCAGGCAAAGAGGCCCAAAAGGAGCACCCAAGGAGGCGGGCUCCUGAGGUCUGGACCAGCGAUGCUGGAGAUGCAAGGUGCCCCGGAGACAUCUGGCUCAAGCAACCACCUGCAGCAGUAGCCUGAGGCAACUUGUACUCGCUGACAGGCAACAGGCCACUUGCUGUGCACACUGAACUCGGCCGUGGUGGGAGUUUACACCAAGAGAACUGGCAGCUGUCACAAACCAG
Molecule: long non-coding RNA, 406 nt
Filed under: Heterocephalus glaber (naked mole-rat)
Lineage: Eukaryota; Metazoa; Chordata; Mammalia; Rodentia; Bathyergidae
Description: lncRNA (ENSHGLG00100041338.1)
Source: RNAcentral